This 490-nucleotide ribosomal RNA is filed under the name uncultured Sphingobacteriia bacterium. RNAcentral describes it as "bacterial SSU rRNA". It matches the Rfam family "Bacterial small subunit ribosomal RNA", at positions 58 to 539 of the family's 1533-position model. Lineage: Bacteria; Pseudomonadati; Bacteroidota; Sphingobacteriia. The record is from RNAcentral.
CAAGUCGAGGGGCAGCAGGACUGUAGCAAUACAGUUGCUGGCGACCGGCAAACGGGUGCGGAACACGUACGCAACUUACCCAAAACCGGGGAAUAGCCCGGGGAAACCCGGAUUAAUACCUCGUAAGAUAAUGAAGUGGCAUCACUUUAUUAUUAUAGCUCCGGCGGUUUUGGAUGGGCGUGCGCCUGAUUAGGUAGUUGGCGGGGUAACGGCCCACCAAGCCUACGAUCAGUAACUGGUGUGAGAGCACGACCAGUCACACGGGCACUGAGACACGGGCCCGACUCCUACGGGAGGCAGCAGUAAGGAAUAUUGGUCAAUGGACGCAAGUCUGAACCAGCCAUGCCGCGUGAAGGAUGAAGGUCCUCUGGAUUGUAAACUUCUUUUAUAUGGGAAGAAACCCACUUUUUCUUGAGUGGUUGACGGUACCAUAAGAAUAAGCACCGGCUAACUCCGUGCCAGCAGCCGCGGUAAUACGGAGGGUGCAAGC